Molecule: ribosomal RNA, 441 nt
Filed under: uncultured bacterium
Lineage: Bacteria
Description: partial 16S ribosomal RNA
Rfam family: Bacterial small subunit ribosomal RNA
Source: RNAcentral
CCUACGGGUGGCUGCAGUCGGGAAUAUUGCACAAUGGAGGAAACUCUGACGCAGUGACGCCGCGUGCAGGAAGAAGGUUUUCGGAUUGUAAACUGCUUUCGACAGGGACGAAAGAAGACAGUACCUGUCGAAUACGCUCCGGCUAACUACGUGCCAGCAGCAGCGGUAAUACGUAGGGAGCAAGCGUUAUCCGGAUUUAUUGGGUGUAAAGGGUGCGUAGACGGAGAAGCAAGUUAGUUGUGAAAUCCCUCGGCUUAACUGAGGAACUGCAACUAAAACUACUUCCCUUGAGUACUGGAGAGGGAAGUAGAAUUCCUAGUGUAGCGGUGAAAUGCGUAGAGAUUAGGAGGAACACCAGUGGCGAAGGCGACUUUCUGGACAGUAACUGACGCUGAGGCACGAAAGUGUGGGGAGCAAACAGGAUUAGAUACCCUGGUAGUC